AUUGAACGCUGGCGGCAGGCUUAACACAUGCAAGUCGAGCGGGGGAAGGUAGCUUGCUACCGGACCUAGCGGCGGACGGGUGAGUAAUGCUUAGGAAUCUGCCUAUUAGUGGGGGACAACAUCUCGAAAGGGAUGCUAAUACCGCAUACGUCCUACGGGAGAAAGCAGGGGAUCGUCGGACCUUGCGCUAAUAGAUGAGCCUAAGUCGGAUUAGCUAGUUGGUGGGGUAAAGGCCUACCAAGGCGACGAUCUGUAGCGGGUCUGAGAGGAUGAUCCGCCACACUGGGACUGAGACACGGCCCAGACUCCUACGGGAGGCAGCAGUGGGGAAUAUUGGACAAUGGGGGGAACCCUGAUCCAACCAUGCCGCGUGUGUGAAGAAGGCCUUAUGGUUGUAAAGCACUUUAAGCGAGGAGGAGGCUACUCUAGUUAAUACCUAGGGAUAGUGGACGUUACUCGCAGAAUAAGCACCGGCUAACUCUGUGCCAGCAGCCGCAGUAA
This 501-nucleotide ribosomal RNA is filed under the name uncultured bacterium. RNAcentral's name for it is "partial 16S ribosomal RNA". It matches the Rfam family "Bacterial small subunit ribosomal RNA", at positions 30 to 523 of the family's 1533-position model. The record is from RNAcentral.